Molecule: long non-coding RNA, 253 nt
Filed under: Elaeis guineensis (African oil palm)
Lineage: Eukaryota; Viridiplantae; Streptophyta; Magnoliopsida; Arecales; Arecaceae
Description: long non-coding RNA (EGUI_LNC069792)
Source: RNAcentral
CACUAAGGUCCAUACUUGGUUCAAGUGCAUUGAGUCAAUUUCUGACUUCAUUGCAUCUAACCAUUUUUCAAAAUCAAUGUCAGACAUUGCCUCGUCAAAAGUAUUAAGAUCAUCACCAUGACCCCCAUCUCCCAUAAGGAAUGCUUCCUCUACAUCCUCUUUCAGUAUACCCAUGUAUCUUUCAAGAGGAUGGGAGAUUCUACUUGACCUACGAGGUGGAUGUGGAACAAUAACUGCUGGCUUAUCCUGGAUG